RNAcentral lists this ribosomal RNA (449 nucleotides) under uncultured bacterium. RNAcentral describes it as "partial 16S ribosomal RNA". It matches the Rfam family "Bacterial small subunit ribosomal RNA", at positions 29 to 523 of the family's 1533-position model. The record is from RNAcentral.
AACGAACGCUGGCGGCAGGCCUAACACAUGCAAGUCGAACGCUCUAGCAAUAGAGAGUGGCAGACGGGUGAGUAACGCGUGGGAACCUUCCCAAUGGUGCAGAAUAGCCCAGGGAAACUUGGGGUAAUACUGCAUAAGCCCUUCGGGGGAAAGAUUUAUCGCCAUUGGAUGGGCCCGCGUCGGAUUAGCUAGUUGGUGAGGUAGUGGCUCACCAAGGCAACGAUCCGUAGCUGGUUUGAGAGAAUGACCAGCCACACUGGGACUGAGACACGGCCCAGACUCCUACGGGAGGCAGCAGUGGGGAAUCUUGGACAAUGGGCGCAAGCCUGAUCCAGCCAUGCCGCGUGAGUGACGAAGGCCUUAGGGUUGUAAAGCUCUUUUGCCGGGGACGAUAAUGACGGUACCCGGAGAGUAAGUCCCGGCUAACUUCGUGCCAGCAGCCGCGGUAA